UUAAAUCCAACGCCCCCCAAACCGGCGGUGAUGGGGGCCGCUGUAGUAGUGCAUGACUGAUGCAGAGUGGUGUCAACUUGUUGCAAAGUGGUCAGAUCCAAAAGAACCAGGUCUGCAUGCUAUCUUACCACAUCGCAUUUACAUUUUCUUGCUACGAGUCUAACAUAAACAUCCCCUGCAGGCAAUCUCUAAGUAGAACUCAAAGAACCGUGGUAAUGUAAAAUUUCCUUAGACUACAUGAUCUCGUAGCUAUGUCGCACAAUUAUACUCAUAUGUAACUGACAUGAGACAUCUUGUUUUGCUUUUGCUUGACUGAUAACGUUGUGACAAUGCUUAGCUAAUAAUGUUGUCAUGAUGCUUGGAAUAUUAUUGUUCUCUUUCCAUUACUUCAUACACUAUUUGAUGUUUGGAAUACUAAUUUUGAUAACUUCUAUUUCAAUACUGAAACAGUCACAGAACAAAAAAAAAGGUGCUAAACUUGAUGACGUUGCUGAAUAAGAUGUUGAUGCGAUUGAAGCAUUUACGGUCUGCCAUACCAGUCGCAAAAAGGGUAUGAGUGUGACCGCAAGACAAGCAUCUGCUGCUAUGGAAAGCAUGCGAACAGAAUCUGCUGAUGAUGGGCAGGCACCAAUGCCUAGUGCUCAGGUUGUUUCCAAGGUGCUCUCUGAAAAUACCUCAAACAACACAUUUCUGAAGAAUACUGGUGUUCCUGUUAAAUCCAAGAAAUCAGAGACUUUGGCUGAAAAAGGCCCUUAAAGAACAACUCGCUGCUGCAAACCAAGUGGCCACUGAUCUCCAUGAGCAAGUUGAUGUAGUGAAGAAGAAGAGUGAAGACCAGGACCAAGUGUUGCUGCAGACGCAAAAGGAGUUGGAGGAGUUCAAGAAACAACAAUAAGAGAACAACUAGCUCCUUAAGCGUAUCUUGAUGUUGAACUCUGCUGGUAACUUCUCUCAGCCUUGACCACCUGAAGUUGAUGGAGGAAUGCCUCUAAUUUUGGGACCUGAUGUUUGUGGUUGUGAUGAACUUAUGUCAGUACGUUGUUGUGAUGAUCUGAUGUCAAUAUAUGUUUGUGAUGGCGGUGUUGUGAUGAACAGAUGUCAGUAUGCGUUUGUGAUGAACAAGUUUAUGUCAGUAUGGUGAAAUUAUGUCAGAAUUUUUCUA
This is a long non-coding RNA of Panicum virgatum (switchgrass), 1162 nucleotides long. RefSeq lists it as uncharacterized. The transcript is spliced from 2 exons. NCBI's taxonomy places the organism in Eukaryota, Viridiplantae, Streptophyta, Magnoliopsida, Poales, Poaceae. The record is from RefSeq and is a predicted model, not a curated record.